CGAACGGAUCGCAUUAUGGUCAUUUUAUAUGGCUGGCGAUAGAUCAUUCAAGUUUCUGACCUAUCAGCUUUCGACGGUAGUGUAUUGGACUACCGUGGCAGUGACGGGUAACGGGGAAUUAGGGUUCGAUUCCGGAGAGGGAGCCUGAGAAACGGCUACCACAUCUAAGGAAGGCAGCAGGCGCGCAAAUUACCCAAUCCUGACUCAGGGAGGUAGUGACAAGAAAUAACAACACUGGAAAUUUUAUUUCUAGUGAUUGGAAUGAUGGGAAUUUAAACCCCUUUCAGAGUAACAAUUGGAGGGCAAGUCUGGUGCCAGCAGCCGCGGUAAUUCCAGCUCCAAUAGCGUAUAUUAAAGUUGUUGCAGUUAAAAAGCUCGUAGUUGGAUGUCUGCUGGAAGCAAUCAGUCCGCCCUAUUUGUAGGGUGUGCACUUGAUGAAUUCUGGCAUCUAUAUCCCAAUAAUAUGAUGGUGUAUACCCUGUGUACACCCAUCUAUAUUGGGAUAAUACCGUUACUUUGAGAAAAUUAGAGUGUUUGAAGCAGGCUAAUUGCCUUGAAUACUGCAGCAUGGAAUAACAAUAUAGGAUUUCGGUUCUAUUUUGUUGGUUUCUAGGACUGAAAUAAUGAUUAAUAGGGACAGUUGGGGGCAUUCGUAUUUAACUGUCAGAGGUGAAAUUCUUAGAUUUGUUAAAGACGAACUACUGCGAAAGCAUUUGCCAAAGAUGUUUUCAUUAAUCAAGAACGAAAGUUAGGGGCUCGAAGACGAUCAGAUACCGUCGUAGUCUUAACCAUAAACUAUGCCGACUAGAGA
Molecule: ribosomal RNA, 811 nt
Filed under: Sarcocystis cruzi
Lineage: Eukaryota; Apicomplexa; Conoidasida; Eucoccidiorida; Sarcocystidae
Description: SSU rRNA
Rfam family: Eukaryotic small subunit ribosomal RNA
Source: RNAcentral